ACACCAGAAGAACUAAGAAUGGUUAGUAUUUCUUUGCACUGAACAUACAACCAUCAUAAUUCCUAGGACUUCAUUUUUUGUUUUAAGCAUUUGAUCUUGGUUGGCAUGAAACACAUGCUAAGUGGUCCUUUCAGGUUUCAAUAAUUAAUAUGGGUUUUGAACUCACUGGUGGCUAUAAUUGAAGCAAUGAGUGUUAUGAUUCUUUAUGGUACUAGUACAUGUAUGAGAUUAGAAAAGAUUUUCCAGGGGUUGAAGGAGUAGCAGUUUCAUUUAGUUUUGGCUGUGGAAUCUCUUAGGUGGGAACUAUUGAAUAAUUCCUGCCUUCAUCUUCUGUCUGCUGCUAUCACACUUAUUAUAUGCUGCACUUUAUAUUCAUGUGAAAGACCCCUUCCCACGUUGCAAUCAUGCAAGUGAUCUUGUAAUCAAAACCUAGAUCACAGAGGAGUUUGGGACUGGGGAGGCUUGUCUGUGCUUUGUCUAAGGGCAAGCCUGGGUUACUUGCUUUCAUGUUUAAUGCACUUUGUAGCUGAAAAAGUUUUGGCCUAAUUGCUUCUAAUUGAUUUUGCUUUAUUACCUUGUAGCACACGGGCUUAAG
RNAcentral lists this unclassified non-coding RNA (595 nucleotides) under Hevea brasiliensis (rubber tree). The record is from RNAcentral. Lineage: Eukaryota; Viridiplantae; Streptophyta; Magnoliopsida; Malpighiales; Euphorbiaceae.